This 402-nucleotide ribosomal RNA is filed under the name uncultured bacterium. RNAcentral describes it as "bacterial SSU rRNA". It matches the Rfam family "Bacterial small subunit ribosomal RNA", at positions 355 to 774 of the family's 1533-position model. The record is from RNAcentral.
UGGGGAAUCUUGCACAAUGGAGGAAACUCUGAUGCAGCGACGCCGCGUGAGCGAAGAAGCCUUUCGGGGUGUAAAGCUCUUACGCCAGGGACGAUAAUGACGGUACCUGGAGAAGCAGCUGCGGCUAACUACGUGCCAGCAGCCGCGGUAAUACGUAGGCAGCAAGCGUUGUUCGGAAUUACUGGGCGUAAAGGGUGCGUAGGCGGCGCUCUAAGUUUGGUGUGAAAUCUCCCGGCUUAACUGGGAGGGUGCACUGAAAACUGGGGCGCUCGAGUAUGGGAGAGGAAAGCGGAAUUCCUGGUGUAGCGGUGAAAUGCGUAGAUAUCAGGAGUAACACCGGCGGUGUAGACGGCUUGCUAGACCAUAACUGACGCUGAGGCACGAAAGCGUGGGUAGCAAACA